RNAcentral lists this ribosomal RNA (376 nucleotides) under Lulworthia sp. ATCC 36312. Its description in RNAcentral is "SSU rRNA". It matches the Rfam family "Eukaryotic small subunit ribosomal RNA", at positions 737 to 1115 of the family's 1831-position model. Lineage: Eukaryota; Fungi; Ascomycota; Sordariomycetes; Lulworthiales; Lulworthiaceae. The record is from RNAcentral.
GGGGAACCAGNACUUUUACUGUGAAAAAAUUAGAGUGUUCAAAGCAGGCCUAUGCUCGAAUACAUUAGCAUGGAAUAAUGAAAUAGGACGUGCGGUUCUAUUUUGUUGGUUUAUGGGACCGCCGUAAUGAUUAAUAGGGACAGUCGGGGGCGUCAGUAUUCGGUGGUCAGAGGUGAAAUUCUUGGACCCACCGAAGACUAACUACUGCGAAAGCAUUCGCCAAGGAUGUUUUCAUUAAUCAGGAACGAAAGUUAGGGGAUCGAAAACGAUCAGAUACCGUUGUAGUCUUAACCAUAAACUAUGCCGACUAGGGAUCGGGCGAUGUUGCUUACUGACUCGCUCGGCACCUUUCGAGAAAUCAAAGUCUGUGGGUUCC